AUUACAACAGUUCCAGGUGAAGACAAUGUUGGCAAAAGUCUUCCAACCCCUCCAACUUUCUGACCUGCAGAAUGAAAGCAUUCUGUCUCUGGGCUCCUAAGAUCAGAAAUGUUGGAGGAGCUUCAAUGAGUGAGAAACUGUGAGUUACCUGCAAAAGAUAAAAGCAAAACAGAAUGCAUUGAUGAAGAUAAUUCAAUCAGCAUGCACAGCAUAGAAUUGUUAUAGAUUGGGUAACUUCAUCAAGACUUCUCCAUGACUGAAGGUGGUAGAUUCUCAAGGAUUGGUUACUUGCACUACAGCAAAUUUACAACCAGCAAAAUAGACUAGAAACAAGCUACUUGUUGAUGAAGAUCAUUGUCUGUUAAGACUCCAUCGCAGAGAAGUUAAAGAGCUUCAAUCACCAUGCUUUCAGGGUCAAUUUGUCUCCGAAAAGGAACAGAUGGGGAAGAAUUAUUCCAUUCACAGUUGACUUGUCAGAAAUUCUAAGAUCUUGGACUGGCUGAAAGCAAUGAUGUUGCCAUUCAUCCUUUCACGUAUUCAUUAUGGUCUACAGCUGAGAAGGGCUAUUUGGGGUUUGCUUUGCCUGAUGGUAGCAGAAGAAAACCAAGAGGCCUCUCUACGAAAGCUUGCAGUAAG
Molecule: long non-coding RNA, 636 nt
Filed under: Pan troglodytes (chimpanzee)
Lineage: Eukaryota; Metazoa; Chordata; Mammalia; Primates; Hominidae
Description: lincRNA
Source: RNAcentral